GAACGAGUUCUCGUUGAUGAUCGGUGCUUGCACUGAGAUUCAACAUGGAACGAGUGGCGGACGGGUGAGUAACACGUGGGUAACCUGCCCUUAAGUGGGGGAUAACAUUUGGAAACAGAUGCUAAUACCGCAUAGAUCCAAGAACCGCAUGGUUCUUGGCUGAAAGAUGGCGUAAGCUAUCGCUUUUGGAUGGACCCGCGGCGUAUUAGCUAGUUGGUGAGGUAAUGGCUCACCAAGGCGAUGAUACGUAGCCGAACUGAGAGGUUGAUCGGCCACAUUGGGACUGAGACACGGCCCAAACUCCUACGGGAGGCAGCAGUAGGGAAUCUUCCACAAUGGACGCAAGUCUGAUGGAGCAACGCCGCGUGAGUGAAGAAGGCUUUCGGGUCGUAAAACUCUGUUGUUGGAGAAGAAUGGUCGGCAGAGUAACUGUUGUCGGCGUGACGGUAUCCAACCAGAAAGCCACGGCUAACUACGUGCCUGCAGCCGCGGUAAUACGUAGGUGGCAAGCGUUAUCCGGAUUUAUUGGGCGUAAAGCGAGCGCAGGCGGUUUUUUAAGUCUGAUGUGAAAGCCCUCGGCUUAACCGAGGAAGCGCAUCGGAAACUGGGAAACUUGAGUGCAGAAGAGGACAGUGGAACUCCAUGUGUAGCGGUGAAAUGCGUAGAUAUAUGGAAGAACACCAGUGGCGAAGGCGGCUGUCUGGUCUGUAACUGACGCUGAGGCUCGAAAGCAUGGGUAGCGAACAGGAUUAGAUACCCUGGUAGUCCAUGCCGUAAACGAUGAAUGCUAGGUGUUGGAGGGUUUCCGCCCUUCAGUGCCGCAGCUAACGCAUUAAGCA
RNAcentral lists this ribosomal RNA (839 nucleotides) under uncultured bacterium. Its description in RNAcentral is "bacterial SSU rRNA". It matches the Rfam family "Bacterial small subunit ribosomal RNA", at positions 64 to 866 of the family's 1533-position model. The record is from RNAcentral.